AUAAAACUUUAAAAGUGUUUGUAUCCAUCGUUUUAAAUUCAUUGUGUUCUGAUCAAUGAUUCAAUUACUCUGUGAUGAAAUAUAACUUAAAACUUUCUCAAUAUUGUCAUUUAUACCUACUAGGAGAAGAAUAAUCAGUUUUCUCCAAUGGAGUGACACAGGGGAUAUCAACUCUAGGACGGGCCUCAUCUUCAGAAGUAACUGACCAGCAUAUAAUGGACUCCAUGGGCUUUUGUGGGCUUUUAUUUGGUUACAGUUCCAUGUUUUGCUGUUUUUUUUUUCUUGGAGGUAUGUGGUUCUAUUUUGUUUUCUUGUCACAUUAAGGUUUUGUUGUUUUUUUGAGAAAGAACUUAGAUUUUGGUGUGUAGGGAGGGGGAGAAGAUUUGGAAGGUCUUGAGGGAGGGAAAGAAUGUCAUGCAAACAUUUAAAUUUAACAUGAAGAAUUCGUGAAUAUGAAUAAUGUCUGGACUAGGAUAAAAAAAGCUUCCUCAGUUCAUUGUAAACCAAUAGUUUUAUAGAACACUGUAACAUGAUCUUGCACUUGGCUUUGGGCAAUGCUAAAUUGCUAUGAAUGUUUCAAAAUGUUUAUUCUCAACCUUUGUGCUCUGAUCAUUCACAUGUGGCUUAAGGGAUGGCGUCUGACCAUGGAGCAGUAGACCUGAAUCUGUGGGCAGUGGCCGGUCUCACUGCACCCACAUCAACAGUAUCGGGGACCUGGUUAGAGAUGUGGUGCUGACGCUCCUCAGGCCUACUAAAUAGGACUGAGCUAAUGGAAUUCUCAGAUGACCACUUCUCAUUAAAGUUGGAAAAAAAUGUGUUCUGGAGGAAAACCAGGUAUAGACGUUGAGGCAGCAGACAGAAGAGGUUCAGUGCCUUUCAUCCACAAAGUGGACUAUAGGGGCAUACAACACCUUAAGAGACAUGGGUGGCUAUGACCGGUCCUCCAAUCAGGGGAGUCUCUUGGUCGGAAGGUGCCUUUGAGCUAGCCUGGCUCAUGGAUAGUGCUGGGAGAACAAGGUGGAUUCACACUUAAAAUUUUUUUCUGUUUCAUCGGAAAAGAAAAGUGUGUUCUUUCUUAAUUACAUAAUUAAAGGAACAUGACUUUAAUAAUUACCUGUUCUAAACCUCCAUAUUUUUAGAUAUGUAUUUAAGUUUUUCUUCCUCCUUUUUUUCCCUCAGUCUAUAAUGGAAGGCUUUUGCUUCUGAACAGUAGCAUUGUUCUGAGCAGUGUUGUUCACAAACUCUCACCAUCAUGUUAAUCUUAAGCUCUAGGCUAGGACCAUGUCUACCUACCUUUGGGCCGUGUGUGUGUGUGUGUGUGUGUGUGUGUGUGUGUGUGUGUGUGUGUGUGUGUUAAUGCUGGUGGUCACACUGCCUAGCCUACCCUCAGAUCUGUGAUAAUCAUCCUGCUUCAACAGGAUGUGAACCAGCAUGCCAGCCUACCCUCAGAUCUGUGAUAAUCAUCCUGCUUCAACAGGAUGUGAACCAGCAUGCCAUGUUGUCUGUUAACCUUGUAAUUCUCUUCCCUGAUCUUAAAUGCUUGGUACCUGGUGAAAACCCAAUAAACAUUUUUUUUAAAAAAAAUAAUGAAUAACAUUAUAGAUAUCUAGAAGAUAAAUCCUUCAACCAUGGAAGGAGUAUUCUGUAAGAUGCUCAUUAAUGGGCCAAUUCGUUUUUAUAUUUUCCUAACACAUUCUGUACAAAUAAACCUGUCAGGUCGUAAAAUACCAG
RNAcentral lists this long non-coding RNA (1731 nucleotides) under Rattus norvegicus (Norway rat). Its description in RNAcentral is "long non-coding RNA NONRATT031586". The record is from RNAcentral. Lineage: Eukaryota; Metazoa; Chordata; Mammalia; Rodentia; Muridae.